RNAcentral lists this ribosomal RNA (1361 nucleotides) under uncultured bacterium. Its description in RNAcentral is "bacterial SSU rRNA". It matches the Rfam family "Bacterial small subunit ribosomal RNA", at positions 28 to 1382 of the family's 1533-position model. The record is from RNAcentral.
GAUGAACGCUAGCUACAGGCUUAACACAUGCAAGUCGAGGGGCAGCAUUUCAGUUUGCUUGCAAACUGGAGAUGGCGACCGGCGCACGGGUGAGUAACACGUAUCCAACCUGCCGAUAACUCGGGGAUAGCCUUUCGAAAGAAAGAUUAAUACCCGAUGGUAUAAUCAGACCGCAUGGUCUUGUUAUUAAAGAAUUUCGGUUAUCGAUGGGGAUGCGUUCCAUUAGGCAGUUGGUGAGGUAACGGCUCACCAAACCUUCGAUGGAUAGGGGUUCUGAGAGGAAGGUCCCCCACAUUGGAACUGAGACACGGUCCAAACUCCUACGGGAGGCAGCAGUGAGGAAUAUUGGUCAAUGGGCGCAGGCCUGAACCAGCCAAGUAGCGUGAAGGAUGACUGCCCUAUGGGUUGUAAACUUCUUUUAUAUGGGAAUAAAGUUUUCCACGUGUGGAAUUUUGUAUGUACCAUAUGAAUAAGGAUCGGCUAACUCCGUGCCAGCAGCCGCGGUAAUACGGAGGAUCCGAGCGUUAUCCGGAUUUAUUGGGUUUAAAGGGAGCGUAGGUGGACAGUUAAGUCAGUUGUGAAAGUUUGCGGCUCAACCGUAAAAUUGCAGUUGAUACUGGCUGUCUUGAGUACAGUAGAGGUGGGCGGAAUUCGUGGUGUAGCGGUGAAAUGCUUAGAUAUCACGAAGAACUCCGAUUGCGAAGGCAGCUCACUGGACUGCAACUGACACUGAUGCUCGAAAGUGUGGGUAUCAAACAGGAUUAGAUACCCUGGUAGUCCACACAGUAAACGAUGAAUACUCGCUGUUUGCGAUAUACAGUAAGCGGCCAAGCGAAAGCAUUAAGUAUUCCACCUGGGGAGUACGCCGGCAACGGUGAAACUCAAAGGAAUUGACGGGGGCCCGCACAAGCGGAGGAACAUGUGGUUUAAUUCGAUGAUACGCGAGGAACCUUACCCGGGCUUAAAUUGCAUUUGAAUAUAUUGGAAACAGUAUAGCCGUAAGGCAAAUGUGAAGGUGCUGCAUGGUUGUCGUCAGCUCGUGCCGUGAGGUGUCGGCUUAAGUGCCAUAACGAGCGCAACCCUUAUCUUUAGUUACUAACAGGUCAUGCUGAGGACUCUAGAGAGACUGCCGUCGUAAGAUGUGAGGAAGGUGGGGAUGACGUCAAAUCAGCACGGCCCUUACGUCCGGGGCUACACACGUGUUACAAUGGGGGGUACAGAAGGCAGCUACCUGGUGACAGGAUGCUAAUCCCAAAAGCCUCUCUCAGUUCGGAUCGAAGUCUGCAACCCGACUUCGUGAAGCUGGAUUCGCUAGUAAUCGCGCAUUCAGCCAUGGCGCGGUGAAUACGUUCCCGGGCCCU